UGCUGCCGGGGCUGAGCACAGUCUCCUUGCUGCUUUCAGUGGGAGGGAGGGAGGGAUGCCCAUCAUUCAGCAGGAUCUAGCCCUCAAGGAGAGGUGGGAGCUGGGGAGGGGUGGCUGGGAAGGGGAGGGCUUUUUAAUAUGGUGCAUCAUUCACUGAGGAAGUCACAGGUGGCCUCAGCGUGUGGUAGGAUGCAGGAUUUGAUGGUCCAUCUUGCCUUGCAGAUGCCAAGCUCAUUUGUACCUAAACCUCAGGCACUGGUCUCGCUUCUGGCUGUACAGACAGACCUGACACACGGUCCUCCUUGUGCUAGGGUGUCAGCUCCUGUUCCAGAGAGCCUGUAACUGCAUCAGAGCCCGAGACCGUUGCUGGUUCCUUUGCAAAUCUAAAAGUGAAUGAAGCAGCAAUGAUUUUCUGGUUCCUGGGCUCCAUCCAACAGCCUUUCUUCCAGCUCGGGCCAAAGCCUCAACCCAGCCACAGGCAGAGGCAGUAGAAGCAGUCAGAAGAUCCAUGGAGACAGAAAGAGACGCCAGGAAUUCCGUAACACUUGUUGGCUCCAAAGUUAAUUGUCGAAGGCUGCAGGGUCAUCUCUGACGAAUAAAAAGCAAAUCCAGCUUCUUGGACACCGGUGGAAGCCACAGCCAAGCCUGUUUCGGAGUCUGCCGUGGGAGGGCAGUGAAUCCCCCCCGACCGCUUCUGCCUGCAUCGGGAGAUGCUCGGAGCGGGCUGUAGAGGUCCCCUCGCACCAGGAGAUGGCUGGGGCUGAGACGGGAAAGGGUCCUUUCUCCAAGGGGAAAGCAGAAGAGGUAAGUUUGACCUCAGCGUGAUAAGGGGCUGAGAUGCUUUUCCCAAAAGCCAGAUUUGAAAAGGUCCCGCUGCUGGACCAAAGCAAAGGAUACGAGAUGCUCACUGGGCAGACUGGGGAUGUGGGACUUUGCUGGCAGCUAAACUCUAACCCUCUCCAGACUCUGCCCAGGGCAGUGUGCUGGAGCUGAGAGCUCACUGUGCUGUGCACAGGGCUAUGGAUUGCUCCUGUGCGUGCACAUGUGCAAGGCUUGCAUGUGUGUCUGGGUGGUUUCAAGGAGCCUGGUUGAAGUUUAGGGCAUUAUAAAUGUCUGUCUUCAUGACCAGGACAUUAAAAUGUUUGCAUCUGGAAAGCAUCCCAGAGAGGGAGGUCUGGGGCAUGAAUGUGGUCUGAGAUCUCCACACUCUCCUCUUUCUCCAUUCAUACUCUGGUUUCCUGAACCCAUCAGAGGUCUUUAGGUGGAGAUUAUGACAGAUCCUGACACUCUCCAAAAGCCAAAAUGAGAAAUAUCCACAGACUGUUUACUUUUCUUUCUACCUAUUUUUGGGGUGGAAAUUGGGCAUUUCCCAAGCUUUCCCAAGUCACUGGCAUUCCCAUGAAGCCUGUUGCGUGGUGCUGACCCAGCUGAUGUGCCCAGCAAAUGCUGAGUGCUGAUGGUGGCUGGUUCCAGCACACACUGACAGCAGGAUCAAGCUCGUGGGUCUAGUGAAGAGGGGAAGGAAUGGGUGCCUUAAUAGGCACAGGACAUUGUGAAAUCCCAGCUCUGGGAAGGGUUUUCAGAGUUUACACCUUACUGGACACUGGAGGAGCCAAGCAGGAGGUGUAAGGUCUGUACAAAUCCAGCUUGUUCAGACUAGCUGCUCACAGGAUGCUCUUUGAAAUGCCUGUGGUUUCCUCUUUUACUAAUCUGCCUUCUGCUUUUCCCCCCUUACAGGUCAGGCAGAGGUUACAGGUUUCCUCUUCAUUUCUGAGGGUGAGAAAUGUGCAUUUUAUUUUAAACACUCUAUUGCAAAAAUCCCACAAGCUGGAGCUUGAGAACAGCACAAAGCUCGGUGUGAGUCUCACACUCCCCAGGGCUGGUGAUGCUGCAGCUCGUGGUGGUUUGAUGGGGCUGGUGUAUCCCCAAGGAGGUGAUUGCAGGGCCUGGGUGUUUCCUUUUUGAUCUGGUGAUGAAAUCCCACAUAAUGAGGAUGGUUGAUGCUGGAAAGCACCUCUGGAGAUCGUCUAAUCCAAUCCUCUGUUCAGCACAGGAGCAGCCAGAGGGGGUUGCUCAGGGCUGUGUCCACUUAAGUUUUGAUUAUCUCCAUGGAUGAAGACCCCCUCAACAGCUCUGCACAACCUGCUCCAGUGUGUUGUAUGUGUUGGAAUGUGUUUUACCCUUACAGUAAAAAAUAGAUCAAAAUUCACUUCCAUUUAAAGGGAAUUUCCUGUAGUUCAACUCACAGCUCUUGCCUCUUGUCCACUGGGCACCACUGGGAAGAGUCUGGCUCCAAUCACUUUAAGCUAGCCUGGCUGAAACUAAGAUGAAACAGUUGUUUGUAGGGAAAAUAAAAGCUAUUUUGGUUCCUUUGAAAUUAUUUACAACUUGAACCAAAGUUUGAAGUAAAAAAUACAAGAGUAUUUUGAAGAUGAAAAGCAUCAGGGCCUUGUUUGAGAUAUGCUUGAAAUUAAACACUUUAACAUUUUAUUACACUGUGACAUUCUCCAUUUGAAAUUUGCCUGCCUUUAAUUAAGAAAGCUGGGGACUGCAAGUGCCUUCAAACACGCAUUUGAACACAGAGAAAAGUUUUAUUUUGGGGAGAACAAAAUGUUUUCAUUGUCUCCACUUAAAGAAGAGAAAAAUAUUUUACUGUGGCAAAUAGAAUCAUAGAAAUCAGAGAAACAGGGAGGUUUCAUCCCGGGUUUAUCUAAAGAGAAAGAAUUUUUCUCUUCCUAACUUUUUGUGUGAUUUUCAAAGGAUAGAGCAGCUGUUUGCACCCGUGCUUCACCUCUGGGAAUCCACGAAGAAGAACUGGGUAAGGAGGGACAACAAUGGGAUCUGGUAGGUCUUUGAAAUGUGUCAGUGUUCAAGGCCAGGUUGGACACAGGGGCUUGGAGCAACCUGCUCUAGUGGAAGGUGUCCCUGCCCGUGGCAGGGGGUUGGAACUGGAUGAACCAUUCCAUGAUUCUGUGAUUGGACUGGACUCAUUCCUGUUGCACGACAGGAGUUGCUGUAGGUCUGGAUCCUCCUUUGCUUGGGAGUGUAUGGGACAGCUCAGUCUUGCCAUGGGCACGGUUGUACUUGAUGCUAUCAAGCUCAACUUGGUCUUGGCAAAGCUGAAGACCAUGGAAUAAACACAUGGAAGCCCGUACACCCUCUCCUUGCCGUGUCUUCCAGUUCUUGGGAGUUUUAUCUUCUCCAGUUGAGGUUUUUAUAGGAUAAUUGCUGGAGUUCCCAGUCCGGGGGCAGCAGUGCUGGAAGUCGUUACCAGCAAAAGCCUGUUUGGGCACUGAUAUGAAAUAAGUCAAUGUGUUGUGACGCACCUUUCACUGCUCUGAGGAUCUCUGCCCAUCCCUGUAGCAUCAGGCCCUUUGCCUCAGGGCUUUCCAGGUGUGGGAGAACCAGGUACUGCUAAAGAGUUGGCUCAAAGGGACAGGACCUGUGGUGGACCAGAGCUUGUUGGGUGCAGCCUCUGCAUCUCCACUGCUGCCUCCUGCGCUCUGGUUUUUGCAGGACAUUGGUGCUGCUCUGUGCUCUCACAGAGCCCAGAUCUGCAUGAGAUCCAGAGGUGUGAGUGUGAAUCCCAGGAGCUGCCAAGGGCAUGAGGAGAGUGGUGUGGAGAAGGAAGAAUCCAUUUAGGUGGGCACCAACUGCGCUGAUGAAGUUAUGCAUCUCCCAAGGGCUAAGGGAGGUAAGCACCCAAAUGUUCCUGGAAACCAAAGGCAUCACAAUUCCCAGCUGAGGCCAUGCUGGCAGCACCUUUCCUCCUCUCCUAUGAAGCUGAUGUCUUGACUGAUGUUGCUGGGGCCAAGCUAGGGGGAAUCGUCACCCGUGGGUCCCACCAGCCUCUGACCAUGGCAGUGGGGACAUGCAGGGGGAGAGUGGAAAGGAUGGCUCCUUCCCGGCCACAGGUUCCCCAUCCGAAAGCAGCGCCCUGUGGUAGAGCACAGCCUGGGCUGUGUGGGAUGUGGGUAACACACGUCUGCUCCGAGGAGGCUGCUGGGUUAUGGAGCCCCAAGGAAUUGGCUGGAAGGAGCCCCUGUGUGGGCAGAGGCGGCUGUCAGGAAUGCAUGGCCCAAACCCAGCAUCACAGCUGUUUGCUGAUGGGCCCCAUGGCUUUGUGUGGCUAUUGAACCUCUCCAGAGAGGCUCAGGAGGCCAAUCCAGCAGAGCCAGGGCUCCUAGGAGCGGUGGAGAGAGUUGCACCAGAUUACUUAUGGUGUAGCAUAGAGACCUGAGGAAGAGGCUGGCAUUUUCCUACUCAAAUCCUGGUAUAUUUAAGACACUUCAAUGUGAAAACGAUGCUUUUCUUUCUCAGGAGAUGGUUUGCAUGGUUAAAGCAUGUGGCUGUUCUGGUGGCCAGUCCUGCAGAGAGCCGGGCUGGGAGGAUGGUGCUGGCGCCAAGAGCCUUGCUGCAGGACCAGCCAUCCCUUCCAGAGAGCAACCUAUAGCUCCUGACACAUUCCCUGUGGAAAGAAGCAUAGCCCAAAGCAUGCCAGGCUGCUUCCUGCAUGCUCUUUGCAAGCCUGCAUGCUGCAAGGGAACUGGCACGUGUGCCUGGACCUCGGUGCCUGAGUGAUCCAUGAUGUCCUUGGGGACAGAGACACUCAUUAGUCCUGUAUAAACACUUGUCAUGUUGGACUGAGCUUUGUGAGACAGGUUUGUGAUGGGGAUAGAGCCUGGGGAAUAGAGACCUUGACUGACAGGUCGGGUUAAACUCCCUGACAGGCCUCAUUGCCUGCAGUGCUCUACAGCAGCUCCACUCUUGCUUGUGUGGAGGAGAACCAUGGCCAUCUCCUGUAGGAACCAUUCUCCAACCUCUUCCACUAGGGAAAUAUGUUUUGAGGUAGAAAAAAUUGAUGCUAAAGAAAGAAGGCAGGGGGUGGGGAUUGUUUCAUCCCCCACUUUAGGUUUUGAAGCCUUAGAUGAGGCCCAUGGACAAAAGCAUCUGGGAGAGAUUAUGGCCCUGACCUGGGGCUGGUGUUUAUACCAAACAAAACGUCUCAUGGUAAGAGGGCAUCGUGUGGCCUGACCUGCUCCACAGGGCUUGUUUACAUCUCACAAACACGAAAACUUCACCCACACUUUGACUCUUGUCAAAGGAGCCUGUGGAUGCUGAAAGUUUAUAUGGCUUUAAGAGGAGACUGGGCAAUUGCAAGUAGGAGAAAUUGCUGAGGGGUUACUAAGUACAUCUGGCUCAAGAGUUCCUCUGAGUUGGAAACAGCUGGAGACUGGGAAAGGACUUGGAAUAAUACCAUAGAUGUCUUGUUCUUGCAUGUCUCUGAGCAUCUUCUUAUGGUCACUGUUAGAAAGAAGCUAUGAGGGAAACGGAGCCCUUGGCCUGACAUGGUGGGACGGUCUGUGUGGGGACCUUGUUCCUUGUCUCCUGUUUGUAGGGUCAUUUUCUGCUGCUCUGGAAUCAGCUGCCUCUCCAGGGAGCUGAUGUUGGACUCUGCUGCUGGCUGAGCUGGGAACCAGGGAGGCUGGUUUUUGAAUGGGUGAACUGGAAGCCCAAACUGUUUCCAUCUCAACACUGAAUGAGAAGAAACGAAAGUCCUAUUCCUGCUUAGGUGCAGGGGGAGCAAGGGAGCUGGAUGCUGAGACUGACCCUUCCUCCAUCCCAUCCACUUCCUCUUUUCAACUCAGCCCCUUGUUCUCAUUAAUUUCUCUCCAAAUCUUCACUUGCAGCCAAACUGACCUCCCCUCUCCCUACAGUGCCGUUGCUCUUCUGCUUCUCCCCUUCCUUUGGUCUCCUGCAUCCUCCUCCCAACCUCCUCUGCCCCAAUUUCAUCCUCUGUAGGAAACAGCUCCCAGCCUGCCAGCAAAGCCUACAAAAACCAGCUUCUACAGAUUGCCAGUUCCUGGAGUUGUCGAGGAGGGGAAACUGAAGAAAACAAACAGAUGGGCCAUCAAAACCAACAUCAGUCAAGAAUGCAGCUUUCUGUCGCUGGCGAUGAGCUGACACCUACACUGAUGUCUCCAGGAAGGUUUUUCUCCUCUGCUUUAAAACAUAAAGUUCAGUUCUGCAUUAAGUUCUACAAUCAGAAUUGUUCGGCAGCAGGGGGAUGUCAUGGAUCAGCGGCAGAGAAAACAUCUCUCUCAUGCCUUUUGGGGAGGACUGAAGAUGAUUCAAAUGGAUGGACUGCAGGGAUUCAUGCAGAGGUUUAUGAUCUGCUUAGAAAUCCUUCCCCCCCAACCCAAAGAAACUGCACAUGGUGGAUUUGCAGGGUGAGCUCCGUGGCACAUUGUCUGCCAAGGAAGGCUUUGCACCUGCCUGGCUCUUGCAUCCAUCUCCACUUCAAAGCAGGCAAGCGCUCCAUCACCAGACGUCUCACAAGGAACGGGGCAGAGGUUGUCUGUCUUUUCAUCCUGGUGUACUUCAUCAACACCAACCACAUCCCCACCUGGGGUUUGUGUGGUUAGCACUAAGAUAAACUCCACAGUGCCUCGUCAUGGGGAUCUCACUGGGAGGUUUAGCUGCACAUAAAAGCACAGCCUGCUCCUCCAUGGAGGACGUGUCUUCAGUUACGCUUUGUGGGUCCUGCCUUAGGACCUUGCUCUGCUUCAGCUCUGUUUUAAGCCAGGUUUAGCUGGGCUUGUCCUGGUACCCAAUGCCACAGCCAUUGAGGAGCUGCCUUCUAAUUUCAGGUUGCACUUCUUAUGCCAAUUCCUUCCCCUGUGUAGGGGAGAAGGAACAUUGUGCCAGUGUUUGUCCAUAGCUUUGUUGACUUUUUUGCCCCUUCAGGGAAAGGAACUGAGAGCAUUCGGGUAGGGGCAGUUCACCCCAGCUGGAGUCACGGGGGCACAGCCUUGUCCUGACCCUCCCAGGACAGUGACUUUGGAGAAGUCAUUGAUGCUGGGUGCUUUUGGAGGCUUGAGACUGGGACAAUGUGACUUGGGAUCAGCUGGUGUGCUGGAGAGGAGUGGGAAUAGGAGAGGCUGCGGGGGUUUUCCAGGUCUGUGCUUGAUCACUUCUCAUCUUUGAUCUUGAUGGGGAGGUGGUGAUGAUGGGAACUGCCUGCAACCACUGGUGCUAAGUGAAAGCUUUCCUUUAAAGACACGUGUAAACUCCUGUUGCUUUUAGACACAGCCCAUCCAGAAGGUCCUUUAUUCUUGUAUUUAGUAUCUACUCAUAAACAUGUAUUAUUGCAGCUCUUCCCAAGCGAGCGCCUCAGCACAGCAAAUCUUCAAGUGGUGACAGGAACAUGAUUCAUCUUGCUACCAGUUCAUGCCCUGAUCAGUGGAGGACAUUUCUUGCUUUGGGAUCCCCAGGCUGUUGACAGCUGACAUCUAGGUACAUGCUGCCCCAGUGAAACACCCCAUGACCUUGACAUUGAUGUGUGAAGGGUUAAUAAGGGCUUUGCUCUGCCCUCCUGUCCCCAUCUGCUGAUUAAUUCCAGCCAGGUGUCUAUGGUUCAGGUCUUAAAACAACAAUUGCUGAAGUGUCUGGGAACAUUUAGUUAGGCUUCACUCUGCAAUUCCAAGUAUGGAUAAAUAUUUGCACCUCUGUGGCUGCAAGACACCUUUGAGAGAUGAAGGCAAUUACUGUAGGAGUUCUUUACAAGAGAAAAAGACUGAUUUCCUGGGGAGCAGUGGUGGUUCAGAGGAAGGCAGGGCUUUCAGAGGAAGGCAGGGCUUGUGGGCUCUCUCUGCAGCUCUCUCUGGGUGGUCUUAGGGAAGGUCUUGGGCAGCUGGAGGUUUGGUUUGGAAGGUUUUGGGUGCUGGAGGGGUUGUCAUCCUACAGCACAUCUGUAGGAAUCCCUACGCAUCAGGGAAUCCAAACAUGCUCCCACUGACUUUUGGCUUUACAAUUUCUCAGCCCUGGUUGCCCCCAGUGAUGCAUUUUACAUGGGAGAAUGAGGAGGAGAAAUGCAGAAUCCAGAUGCGUGUGCAAAGGCCCUUUCUUGAGGUACCCAGAGGAAAGGCCCUGUAUGGCUCAGCGAUCCCGGAGAAUAGGUUUCAUUUUGGUGAGUUCCUAUUUCCAUGUAGGUGUAGUCUAAUAGCUGUAGUGUUCUGCCUCUUUCCAUUCAAGAAACCAAUAGGUUUCAGCUGCAUCUUUGGGGAAAUAUGGAAUACAGCCCUGUGACUCUUCAUUCCUGGCUUUCAGCAGCGUGCCACCCUGUGAUGUGUGCAAGGGUGACAGAAAACAGUGUCUGCUUUCCAAUGAGGGCAAUUCAGCUUCUCAGUGCCUCCCUGCAUGCCUGGGGUCUGCAAAGAAACACCCGACCCUUUGGUGCUGUGCACGAAGACAAGUGAGGAACAAGGUGGGAGCACAGUUAACUUGGCACCUUGUCCUUGGCCAUGGCCUGAAGCAAGUGAGGAGGGUGAGGAUGAGGAUGCUCUGGGGCCCUAAGAGAGAUGCUCAGUCCCAGGCUGGCUUUCUCUGACCCCAUGCUGUGGGUUUGGUGGCCACAUGUCUCCCAUUCACUGCUGUGGCAAUAAAUAUACGUGAUCCCAAAUCUCUUGUUCAUAAUCAUCUUGUCUGGAGGCGUUUCUGGACGCUGUUCACACGCUGCAAUAAGGCAGACGGCUGUGGGAUUUGUCUUCCCUCAUUUCCCAACCUGAGGGUGAUGCUUUUACAGGGAGAUGAAGGGGAGGGAACUGGGGGUACCCCAGGAGCAGAGAUCCCAGCUGCACAGCAGAAUUAAUGCCAGGCCUGUGUUUACUCUGGAUCAGAAAGAAGGCAGAUUCUGCCCUUUAGCAAACUGGGAAGAAAGCAUUCACCACGUCCCUAGGAGGCAUCUGCGAGCAAUGGGGAAGCAUUUACACCUCUGAUCACCUCCUGCCUGAGCAAGAAAGGUGGGAGAGUGGAGCUGGUUUAGGACGUGGAGCUCCUGGAUGCCACGGGGAGCCCUUGGUGCAGGAUGUUAGAGACAACCUUCUCCAGUGCAUUUUGCCCACUGCUGCACCUUCCCUGAGACCCUGGAGCCAGGGGGGGCUGGAGCUGCCAGGAGAGACGUCUGUUUCAAGCAGCAG
Long non-coding RNA from Strigops habroptila (Kakapo), 8978 nucleotides. RefSeq lists it as uncharacterized. Lineage: Eukaryota; Metazoa; Chordata; Aves; Psittaciformes; Psittacidae. The transcript has 4 exons. The record is from RefSeq and is a predicted model, not a curated record.